UACGGGGGGGGCAAGCGUUGUUCGGAAUUACUGGGCGUAAAGGGCUCGUAGGCGGCCAACUAAGUCAGACGUGAAAUCCCCAGGCUCAACCUGGGAACUGCGUCUGAUACUGGAUGGCUUGAAUUCGGGAGAGGGAUGCAGAAUUCCAGGUGUAGCGGUGAAAUGCGUAGAGAUCCGGCGGAACACCGGUGGUGAAGGCGGUCUCCUAGGCCGAGGGCCGACGCUGAGGCGCGAGAGCGUGGGGAGCGAACCGG
RNAcentral lists this ribosomal RNA (254 nucleotides) under uncultured bacterium. RNAcentral's name for it is "partial 16S ribosomal RNA". It matches the Rfam family "Bacterial small subunit ribosomal RNA", at positions 524 to 776 of the family's 1533-position model. The record is from RNAcentral.